This 252-nucleotide ribosomal RNA is filed under the name uncultured bacterium. RNAcentral's name for it is "partial 16S ribosomal RNA". It matches the Rfam family "Bacterial small subunit ribosomal RNA", at positions 524 to 776 of the family's 1533-position model. The record is from RNAcentral.
UACGUAGGUGGCAAGCGUUGUCCGGAAUUAUUGGGCGUAAAGCGCGCGCAGGCGGCCGCGUAAGUCUGAUGUGAAAGCCCGGGGCUCAACCCCGGUGUGCAUUGGAAACUGCGUGGCUUGAGUGCAGGAGGGGAAAGCGGAAUUCCACGUGGAGCGGUGAAAUGCGUAGAGAUGUGGAGGAACACCAGUGGCGAAGGCGGCUUUCUGGCCUGUAACUGACGCUGAGGCGCGAAAGCGUGGGGAGCAAACAGG